CUCGAGGAGGGACAGAGCCUGUGCCAGGAGCACCGUCCUGCUGCCAGAGGCCUCUGGGUUGCUGUGCUGUGGGCAGCGGACCCCAACUCCUAUGAUGAGGAGACCAGUGACAGGGGAGCACUGGCCCCUUCAUGUGAGGCAGGGGUGGGGUGGGGGCAUCUCCCGCCUGGUGCCCCCUGUGCUGCCGUGCCCUGAGCCCCUGCCCUCCACUGACCUCAGGGGUCUGUAGGUGACCUCGGUGACGUGGAUUCCAAAGAGCUCCCGGGCCGCGUAGCGGAACACGUGCUCCAGCCCGUCUCGUGAACUCAGCCGUCUCUGGGCACCGAGACAGACCAUGGGGCAGAUACAGGACCCGCCAGAAGGAAGCCGUGGCACAGGAGAGGGAGGACAGUGCCCCCCCCCCGAACAGCGUCCCUUGUGCGGCCCCGAGCUUGAGGACCUCUCCUGCGACGAGAGCACAGCACGGAUGCCCAUCGGCUGAGCUUCGGGCAAAACAGAGUCCCCCCAAGAGCACCCACGGUGACCUGAGGGGCUGGACGUCCACCCCGGCUGGAGGCGCCUGCACCUCCGCAGGCCGCCGCCCCAACCCUGGAUGCGCCCGGAGACACAGCACCCGGCGUCCCUGGAGGGCCACCUCCCCCGCUGCCUGGCUCCCAGGCUUGAUGCAGUCCUGUACCAGUAAGAGACCCCAAAGACCGGCCUGAGUGCACGGAGGCAUGGGAAGAGGGCCGACCCGAUGGCCACACCGCUGCCUGGGAUGAAGGCUCUGCCCCAAUUCCUGUCUUCCUGCUGCAGCCGCCGAAUUAGCGCUAUGGCUGCUUACCCUACUCCCACCAGUCCAGUCACCCUGCCUGCCGGGUUCCUCGGCAGGUCACCGUAGAUGGAGGAAGUGCGAUGGGGGCCUGCACGCUAACCUGUCUGCAGACACCAACCCUGACCCUGACCCUUCCUCAGCAAAAACGGAUGCGUGGCACCGCCCAGAGGGCCACUGGCUGCUGAGAGCAAGCCAAGGGUGGGCAGGAAUGCUCUGCUUGGAGAUCACCUGCCCUCCCAGUUCCCGGAAAAAGGCUCCCUUCUCUCCCCAACUCCUUGAGUUCUGUCUCUCUCAUCACUGGGAGAACCUCACUGGCCUCACCUUCCCAAAGAGGGCCAGCCCCAGAGCGCCUUAGCAGGCCUGUCCGAGCUCCCCCCUGCCGCUGGUUGGAACCAGCCGCACCCGCUCCUUCUCAGGGGACUCCUCGGCCCUCUGGAGGCCUGGUCCUGCGCGGCUGGUGGCAUCGAUAAGCGGGGACACCCCAUGAGGGCGGCCGGCUAUCAAGCACAGCUGCCCUGUGCCUUUGGCGGCAAGCUCUAGCUUCCUCCCCGAAGGUGACACCGACGACCACCACCGCGGUGACUCCAGAGGGCCACCACCUCCGCCCUUGCAGUGUUCACACGCAAGUAACCGGCCAGAGAAGGUCAGCAGGGUCUUCCGGGCCCUGAGCUGGGUGGCACCGGCUGCCGUGCCCGCCCGGGAAAAGGACGCGAUCGCCCCUGGGCUGUGCGGCCCCGCGGCCCCGAUCCCGAGUUCCCCGCUGCCCGGCCCGCCCACCUGAGACGGCGCGAUGAAGUCGUCCAGGUCCGUCAGCUGCACGGCCCCGCUGAAGGGCGACGCCAUGGCGCCACACUGCCGUCGGGUCACCGCGCGCAGGCGUCGCCAAACGCUGCAAAAACGGCGAGGCGGUUCCGCCACGCUGCCGGAAAGCGCCCGCCAGGCGCAGGCGCGAAUGGCCUAGUGGCAGGCGCGCGCCCCCUUCUGGGGGGCCUGGGCAUCUUACUCCGCGCCGGCGGAGGAGCUGCGCGGUAAGGGGGGGGCCUCCGUCGCGGUUCCAGACUCACCUGCCAGGCAGGUGUGCAGCCCACCCGCCCCCUCCUUCUCCGCCCUAGGAUUUUGCAGAGGCAGCAGACUUGCUUUAUUUGGUUCUGGACGCAGCCCAAGAACGUAGAAGAGCGCUUGGCACGCAGGAGUGCGCGACUUCUGUAGAAAGAGGAAAAUGAGAAUGACUCGGAUGGGCCGUCUUUCUUCCCGAUGCUGCAGCUCAGUGCAGAGCCUUGGGGUUCUAGGAGGGAGCUCGCGGUUAUUUUGGAGACCAGCUUGAGAAAACUUCAUUUCCCUCAAGUGGAAGUUGCUGGGCCGCUUCCUGGGAGGGAAGCUACAUGGCAUUUCGGCCUGUGCUGCAGCUGGGGUGGCAAUGCUGGAUCCUCAACCUGCUGCACCACGAGGAAACUUCCGUUGCAGGCCGUCGUUCCAGUGCCCUUGUGGGAGUGCCGGGGUGACUGCCAGAGCGUUUCUGGUUUAAAACCAUCUCAGCGGGGGAAGUUCCCAUUGCGGCUCAGCCAUAUCCAUGAAGACUCGGGGUCCACUGGCCUGGCUCAGUGGGUUAAGGAUCCGGCUUUGCCGUGAGCUGUGCGGUGGUUUCAUCAUUGUCCUUACCGGCCCAUGCGCAGCGCAGAGUCUACACACGCGGGGGACCGAGAGGGCCGGGGGAGGCCAUGGCGCGGGGCCAAGGCCCGGAGGCCAGGCCGGUCAGCCCGUGCAGCUGCCCUGACGCUGGGGCCGGUGGGCCCCCCUUUCUCUGAACUGGAGCAGGCGCCCUCCCGGCCUCUGCUCUGGACGUGCCCACAGUGGACCAUGCCCAUCGCCCUCCGAUGGGAGUAGGGGGGCUUUCUCCUGAGGUGUGACAAGCUGCUGGCCCUCCGGCAGCUUGGCCUGAGUGCCACCCUGUCAGGAGUCGGACCCCUGUUGUUGUCGUGCGGCUGCUGGAGCAGAACCGCGGCCGGAGGCUUAAAGCAGCAGAAGCGAUUCUCAUGUGGUUCUGGGGGCUGGAAGGCUGCAAUCGCGGUGUGAGCAGCCCCGCGGCCCCUCCAAGGGCUUCUUGCCUCCUCCAGCCUCUGGGGGCACCAGGCGUCCCUGAGCUGGGCCAGGUCCCUGCGGGCUCCACGGUCCCGUGGCUCCUGUGUGUCUUCUUCCCUCUCUCAUCCCAUAAGGAUGCAGCCUUGGAUUUAGGACUGCCCUGAUCCAGAACGCUCUUCUCGGGAGAGCUGUAGCUUCAUGACACCUGCAAAGACUCUUUUUCCAAGUGAGGUGCCUCCCACUCGAAAAACAUCUGGGGCUUCAUCAGGGAGUCUCCCGCAGGACAAGUCCGAUUUUUUGUGAGACUCUUGGGGGUCCCAGGACAGCUGAACAACGGGGCGUGUCUCACCAGGCGGUAGCCCCCCACCCCCAGGGCCUGGCCAGCCCUCAGGGGACCAGUGGGAUGGAGGGGCCGCCCGAGCCGAGGACCGCCAGCCCAGGGCUGGGCCAGCAGCUGUGUGUCCGAGGCGGACAGCCUGUGUGCGGAGGGAAUGAAGUGACCCCGGGUGGGGACGAGUAGCAGGUAUUUUACCGUUUCCAAAAUAAAUUGAAGGUUUUCUUAAAUACA
Phacochoerus africanus (Common warthog) is the source of this 3461-nucleotide long non-coding RNA. RefSeq lists it as uncharacterized. The record is from RefSeq and is a predicted model, not a curated record. Lineage: Eukaryota; Metazoa; Chordata; Mammalia; Artiodactyla; Suidae. The transcript is spliced from 7 exons.